AUUUAUUCUGGAAUUUUUUUCUAAGCUGUGACUAACUCUUUUUAUCUCUCAAUAUAAUUUUUGAGCCAGUUAAUUUUUUUCAGUAUUUUGCUGUUCCUUGGGAAUGAGCCCUCAGAGGACAGUGCUUCCAAGUACAUCUUCUUCUCCCAGAUUCUCUGGCCUUUUUAAUGAGCUAUUGUUAAACCAACAGGCUAGUUUAUCUUACAUCAGACCCUUUUCUGGUAGAGGGAAAAUGUUUGUGCUUUCCUUUUUUCUUCUGUUAAUACUUAUGGUAACACCUAACUGAGCCUCACUCACAUUAAAUGAUUCACUUGAAAUAUAUACAGAAAUUGUAAUUUGCUUUUUUUUAAAAAAGGGGGCUAAAGUAACACUUUCCUACUU
This 381-nucleotide long non-coding RNA is filed under the name Homo sapiens (human). RNAcentral's name for it is "LHRI_LNC2125.1". Lineage: Eukaryota; Metazoa; Chordata; Mammalia; Primates; Hominidae. The record is from RNAcentral.